RNAcentral lists this ribosomal RNA (189 nucleotides) under Triticum aestivum (bread wheat). RNAcentral's name for it is "partial small subunit ribosomal RNA". The record is from RNAcentral. Lineage: Eukaryota; Viridiplantae; Streptophyta; Magnoliopsida; Poales; Poaceae.
UCCGAAACUCUCUUAACUAAUAUUCAAGAGAAAAGGAUUCUAGAAAGAUUCAUAGAAUUAGAAGAACUUUCGCUAUUGGAUGAGAUGAUAAAAGGGAAACUAAAGACACAUGUACAAAAACCUCCUACAGGAAUACACAAGGAAAUAAUACAAUGGGCUGAGAUUGACAACUCUAGUAACAGAGAAUGA